UGGGGAAUAUUGCACAAUGGGCGCAAGCCUGAUGCAGCAACGCCGCGUGAACGAUGAAGGUCUUCGGAUCGUAAAGUUCUGUUGCAGGGGAAGAUAAUGACGGUACCCUGUGAGGAAGCCCCGGCUAACUACGUGCCAGCAGCCGCGGUAAUACGUAGGGGGCUAGCGUUAUCCGGAUUUACUGGGCGUAAAGGGUGCGUAGGUGGUCUUUCAAGUCGGUGGUUAAAGGCUACGGCUCAACCGUAGUUAGCCUCCGAAACUGGAAGACUUGAGUGCAGGAGAGGAAAGUGGAAUUCCCAGUGUAGCGAUGAAAUGCGUAGAUAUUAGGAGGAAUACCGGUGGCGAAGGCGACUUUCUGGACUUUUACUGACGCUCAGGUACGAAAGCGUGGGGAGCAAACAGG
RNAcentral lists this ribosomal RNA (403 nucleotides) under Verrucomicrobiota bacterium. RNAcentral describes it as "Verrucomicrobia bacterium partial 16S ribosomal RNA". It matches the Rfam family "Bacterial small subunit ribosomal RNA", at positions 355 to 776 of the family's 1533-position model. Lineage: Bacteria; Pseudomonadati; Verrucomicrobiota. The record is from RNAcentral.